AUGAGAGAAAACAUCCCCUUAAGUUAUAUGAGAAACCACUAAAACAUAUUCAGCCUUGGAAUACUCUAAAAAAAAAAAAAAAAAAGUUCUGGGUUACAACAGAGCAGUUUCCAAGCCAAGGCCUGACUAAUACUCUAAUACUUACCUAAUGGAAUAUGCUGUGUUCAUACUAUUUUUACUGAAAAAAAGACAGCUCACUGCUCAAUCCUACCGUCCCUCUGAGCCAAAGAAGAUCUGCUGGAAGAUGGGGAUCCUCAAGUCAUAUACCAAUUUGGCUUUGCCAUUUUCAGGGAACAUAAACUGUCAUGUGAUCUUGAUCUUAACUCUGCAGACUUUGCCACAGUACUUUCCAUGAGAGGGUAAUUCGCCAUUCUUCAUAAAGGCAUCUUGCCUGGGAAGCAUCAGUUCUUCAUUGACUAUGGAAAAACAUUACAGAUGCAACUUGAUCAGGAUCUCAUCUUUUGAAAACUAAAUCACAAUGAGAUCAAUCCCACUUUUGAUGACUUCCUCAAAACCUUUUUUUAAAAAACAAAACAAAACAACUCCUGGUAGAGCUUAGUUUUAUUGUACUCUUUUCUAAGAUAAGGACUUGAAAAGUGCCAAAUGAUAAAAGUUGUGGAACAAUGAUGUUGUGGAAACUAUGGAAGCAUGGCCAUGGACGGAAUGCAAGAUGUAAAAUGAAGCAGUUUCCAAAGCAUUAUGAAUAGAAUUCGUGUCUUCACAAUUUUGCACUGGUAUCGUUAGUUCACCUGUGUGCUAUUGGUACUGUAGAUCAUUGUUCUAACUUCCUGCUAAAUAAUAAGAUAUGUGAUAGGUGCACUUGUAAGUGUAUAUGCUUUGUAUAUGAAAUUCUAUAUAUCUCAGAAGAGGAACAUGCCAUCUUUCAUUAAACAUGUGUGAUCAAGACUUUUAAGCACAAUACAACAAAGUUUUUUUUAAAGUACUGCAAUCAUAUACAUGAAUAUUUAUAUUUAUACAGUACUUAAACAUCUUAAUUUAAUCACAGCUGUUCCAUUUGGUGUGCAGAUGUACUUGCAUUUUAAUCUGCAAAAUGUCAAGUUUGUGGAAACCUUGACUGGUGACUAUAUGAAAAGCAUAUUUCAAGGUUUUAUUUUCCAUUUGCUUAAGAAAUGCUGUGAAAUAUGAUGUGAGACAUGGAAUGUUCCAUGAAAUUGAAUAAGUAAGUGAAAACAUUUGUCCUUUUGAUUGCCUUGAACCAUGUAAAUGCUGUCAGGAUAAAAUGGCUGUAAGGAAAAUGGAACAUAAUUAAACCUGACUUAUUCUAAAUACCCUCCACAUAACUAAAUAUGAGGAAGCUUAAUAUUUAAGAGGAGGCAAUUAGGACAGCAGUCUUUUUGCUUAACAUUUCUCCUUAGUGUUUCUCUGUCAAAGAGUUUGGAUUGUUUAUAUUCAGUGUAGCUUCUGUAUAUAACAUGACAGUAAAUGCUGGCAGUCGCUGGGGCACUGGUAGUUUAAUGUGUCUGUUACUAUGAGAAAAAAGGCCUGCAAUAACUUUGCUGCUCCUCUAAAAUGAGGUCUAGAUCAACAAAUGGUUUUCAUUCAUUUUUUUUGCUUGAGUGUAAGUUGCUAACAGUUCAUAAGUUUGGGAUUUCAUUUAUUGAAUCAUUAUAAACAAAAAGAGAAAUACAUUAACCAAUACAAAAAUUAAUGUAAAUAACAACAAAAACAUUUACACAUUUAAAUGCAAAUUUCCAAUUGAAUUAACUUUUUUUUUUUUUUUUUUUUUUUGGGGAAGAGGAGGGGGAGGGGGGGGGGGGGGGGGGGGGGAGAAAAGAGAGGAGAGGCAGGGCCUGUAGCUUGUGUAGCCUGAUGGGGCAAAAAGCUUUAUACAGUGCCUGGAACCUGCAAGAACCUGCUAUAGAGGCUUUCUUUCUGCUACUGAAGUAAAACUGGAAAUUUGUUUAUCUGUUUUAAGAAAAUACUUUUAUAUCUUCAUGUAAAUUAUGCUGAAGCUGUCAAAAUACUGAAAGUAAAAUUUAUUUAUUUAUUUAUGAUUGGACGGGUUAUUUGAUAGACCAGUAAAUUUGAAAUAAAAUAAAAAUAGAAUUAUCUCA
RNAcentral lists this long non-coding RNA (2075 nucleotides) under Anas platyrhynchos platyrhynchos (common mallard). RNAcentral describes it as "lncRNA (ENSAPLG00000018576.1)". Lineage: Eukaryota; Metazoa; Chordata; Aves; Anseriformes; Anatidae. The record is from RNAcentral.